AUCACUUCCUGGUCUUUUGGCUAAGAUCAAGUGUAGUAUCUGUUCUUAUCUGUUUAAUAUCUGAUACGUCUUCUAUCUGAGGACAAUCUACUCUAUUGAUUUUUGGAGCAGGGAGUUGGAAUAGGAGCUUGCUCUGUCCACUCCAUGCAUUGACCUAGUAUUGCAGUAUCUCCAGCCACAGUGCAAAAAAA
Small nuclear RNA from Capra hircus (goat), 191 nucleotides. Its record names the gene U2. It matches the Rfam family "U2 spliceosomal RNA". From Rfam's summary of the family: U2 is a small nuclear RNA (snRNA) component of the spliceosome (involved in pre-mRNA splicing). Complementary binding between U2 snRNA (in an area lying towards the 5' end but 3' to hairpin I) and the branchpoint sequence (BPS) of the intron results the bulging out of an unpaired adenosine, on the BPS, which initiates a nucleophilic attack at the intronic 5' splice site, thus starting the first of two transesterification reactions that mediate splicing. The record is from Ensembl. Lineage: Eukaryota; Metazoa; Chordata; Mammalia; Artiodactyla; Bovidae.